This is a non-coding RNA of Candidatus Melainabacteria bacterium, 73 nucleotides long. Lineage: Bacteria; Bacillati; Candidatus Melainabacteria. The record is from Rfam.
GCCGCGAUAGCUCAGUCGGUAGAGCAGAGGACUGAAAAUCCUUGUGUCGGCAGUUCAAAUCUGCCUCGCGGCA